This 469-nucleotide ribosomal RNA is filed under the name uncultured organism. RNAcentral's name for it is "partial 16S ribosomal RNA". It matches the Rfam family "Bacterial small subunit ribosomal RNA", at positions 335 to 796 of the family's 1533-position model. The record is from RNAcentral.
ACUCCUACGGGAGGCAGCAGUGGGGAAUUUUGGACAAUGGGCGAAAGCCUGAUCCAGCAAUGCCGCGUGCAGGAUGAAGGCCUUCGGGUUGUAAACUGCUUUUGUACGGAACGAAAAAGCUCCUUCUAAUACAGGGGGCCCAUGACGGUACCGUAAGAAUAAGCACCGGCUAACUACGUGCCAGCAGCCGCGGUAAUACGUAGGGUGCGAGCGUUAAUCGGAAUUACUGGGCGUAAAGCGUGCGCAGGCGGUUAUGUAAGACAGAUGUGAAAUCCCCGGGCUCAACCUGGGAACUGCAUUUGUGACUGCAUGGCUAGAGUACGGUAGAGGGGGAUGGAAUUCCGCGUGUAGCAGUGAAAUGCGUAGAUAUGCGGAGGAACACCGAUGGCGAAGGCAAUCCCCUGGACCUGUACUGACGCUCAUGCACGAAAGCGUGGGGAGCAAACAGGAUUAGAUACCCGUGUAGUCC